This 1550-nucleotide ribosomal RNA is filed under the name metagenome. Its description in RNAcentral is "bacterial SSU rRNA". It matches the Rfam family "Bacterial small subunit ribosomal RNA". The record is from RNAcentral.
AGGGUUUGAUCCUGGCUCAGAGUGAACGCUGGCGGCGUGGAUUAGGCAUGCAAGUCGAGCGAACUUUUUUAAUGAUGUAUAUUUGAAGCCUUCGGGUUGAUGAUGUGCUGAUUUAUUAAGGUUAGCGGCAAACGGGUGAGUAACACGUGGGUAACGUACCUUAAGGAGGAGGAUAGCCUUGAGAAAUCAGGGGUAAUACUCCGUAAUCCCUUAUACCUGGAAUGGUAAAGGGCAAAGAUGGCCUCUACUUGUAAGCUAUCGCCAUAAGAGCGGCCCGCGUCCUAUCAGGUUGUUGGCAGGGUAAAAGCCUACCAAGCCUAGACGGGUAGCUGGUCUGAGAGGAUGGUCAGCCACAUCGGGACUGAGACACUGCCCGGACUCCUACGGGAGGCUGUAGUCGAGAAUCUUUCACAAUGGACGAAAGUCUGAUGAUGCGACGCCGCGUGGGGGAUGAAGGUUUUCGGAUUGUAAACCCCUUUUAUUGAAGAGAAACUUUUAUGUUUCAAAUAGAGACAUAGGAUUGACUGUAUUCAAUGAAUAAGCCACGGCUAACUCCGUGCCAGCAGCCGCGGUAAUACGGAGGUGGCAAGCGUUACUCGGUUUGACUGGGUGUAAAGGGUCCGCAGGCGGCCAAAUAAGUGAAAGGUGAAAUCCUUCGGCUCAACCGGAGAAUGGCCUUUCAAACUGUAUGGCUCGAGGCUGGAAGAAGAGAGUAGAACUGCUAGUGUAAGGGUGAAAUCUGUGGAUAUUAGCAGGAAUGCCUGUGGUGUAGACGACUCUCUGGUCCAGACCUGACGCUCAGGGACAAAAGCUAGGGGAGCGAACAGGAUUAGAUACCCUGGUAGUCCUAGCUGUAAACGAUGGGCACUAGGUGUCUGUCCGUAAGGAUGGGUGCCGGAGUUAACGCGUUAAGUGCCCCACCUGGGGACUACGGCCGCAAGGCUAAAACUCAAAGGAAUUGACGGGGACCCGCACAAGCGGUGGAACACGUGGUUUAAUUCGAUGCUACGCGCGGAACCUUACCAGGGUUUGACGUGCUAGAAGUAGUGCCCCGAAAGGGGUUCCGACCGGUAACCAGUCCGGUACUAGCACAGGUGCUGCAUGGUUGUCGUUAGCUCGUGCCGUGAGGUGUUCCCUUAAGUGGGAAAACGAGCGCAACCCUCGCCCUUUGUUGCCACUUCUGGUUUUAAAUCAGAAAGCACUCUAGGGGGACUGCCCGCGUUAAGUGGGAGGAAGGUGGGGACGACGUCAAAUCCGCAUGGCCCUUAUAUCCUGGGCUACACACGUGUUACAAUGCCUGUUACAAUGGGGGGCGAAGCCGUGAGGUGGAGCAAAUCUCAAAAAAGACAGGCUCAGUUCGGAUCGAAGGCUGCAACUCGCCUUCGUGAAGCUGGAAUCGCUAGUAAUGGCGCAUCAGCUACGGCGCCGUGAAUACGUUCCCGGGUCUUGUACACACCGCCCGUCAAGCGCUGAAAGUGGGGGGCACCCGAAGUCCCGAUCAUUCGGGAUCACGGUGAAUUUCAUGAUUGGCGCUAAGUCGAAACAAGGUA